CGCGCUCUAUCAUAGUUCGUAAGCUCGCCUUCCUGCUUCGGCCAUCAACGCUUCCUCGGCCCUGAGUCUGGGUUUAGGGUUUCAGCUUCGGCUCGGGUCUUCCAUCAACGCUUGCUUCGUCUCUCUGCCUAUGUGGUUGUUGACCUUGAUUAUAAUCGUAUCACUACAUCAGAGAAAAUUCCACCUAUUCCCGAGCCAGAAUACCACUUCUUACGUGGUGAGGUAAUCAAGUUAUUAUACCCCAAUGUAAUUGGAAUUGAUGAAUUGAAGGCUGGAAUAUAUAGUGUAUCUGAGCAUUAUACUAAAUUUGUGGCUAAGCAGUGGGGAGCGGAUCAUGACCUUCAGUUAAGGAUGAUAUUCUUAAAGUUCUUUGCAACAGUUUUAAGUGGCUAUCGGAAUUUCCUAGUAUGAAUAUUCUAGUUCUUGUUUCAAGAAUUUAGUUUUCAAUCUUCCAUGAGAAAACUUUGGUAUGACCUUUCAUUGUUCAUUUUCUUCUUUUUUCCUAUUUUGGCAUCAGGAAAAUAGUUCCACUUAGGUCUUCAAUACUCAAGCUUUCUUGAAGAAAUGGUCUCGAGCUACUAACCAAUCACCAGAUCCAAUGUUUCUAUUAAGGAUUCAAGAACUUGAAUGCUCCAAGAUAAUCCACCUAGAACUCAAGGGAACCAAUGCAUAUUCCAAAGUCAAUUAUCAUC
Molecule: non-coding RNA, 692 nt
Organism: Arachis ipaensis
Lineage: Eukaryota; Viridiplantae; Streptophyta; Magnoliopsida; Fabales; Fabaceae
Source: RefSeq, a predicted model, not a curated record